RNAcentral lists this ribosomal RNA (252 nucleotides) under uncultured bacterium. Its description in RNAcentral is "partial 16S ribosomal RNA". It matches the Rfam family "Bacterial small subunit ribosomal RNA", at positions 524 to 776 of the family's 1533-position model. The record is from RNAcentral.
UACAGAGGUCUCAAGCGUUGUUCGGAUUCAUUGGGCGUAAAGGUGCGUAGGGGGCGAGGUAAGUUGGAUGUGAAAUCCCGGGGCUCAACCCCGGAACUGCAUUCAAUACUGCCUUGCUGGAGUACUGGAGAGGAGAUUGGAAUUUACGGUGUAGCAGUGAAAUGCGUAGAUAUCGUAAGGAAGACCAGUGGCGAAGGCGGAUCUCUGGACAGUUACUGACACUGAGGCACGAAGGCCAGGGGAGCAAACGGG